UCCCCAUCUUUAUAUAUAUAUAGAGUCCGGCUACUAUGCUAUCGAUAACACCAAGUAUUUAGUGCUAUUAAGUUUUCUGCCGUUAGAUUAACCCCUUUGAUUAUUUUCCCACAUUAGAUUAUACUAUUCAACCAACCACCCACUCAACCCUAGGGGCCCAUAUUAUCCUAACCGCACAUUUCUCAAUCCAAUGGCUAAAAAACUAAUAGCACAAAUAGCUUGGUACUAUUGAUAGUAUUCCAGCCUAGUUCUAUAUAUAUAUGUGUGUGUGUGUGUGUAUGUGUAAUAGCUUGAUGCUAUUGAUAGUAUUCCAGCCUAGUUCU
Molecule: long non-coding RNA, 323 nt
Filed under: Ananas comosus (pineapple)
Lineage: Eukaryota; Viridiplantae; Streptophyta; Magnoliopsida; Poales; Bromeliaceae
Description: long non-coding RNA (ACOM_LNC032339)
Source: RNAcentral